CUACGGGACGCUGCAGUGGGGAAUCUUAGACAAUGGGGGAAACCCUGAUCUAGCCAUGCCGCGUGAGCGACGACGGCCCUAGGGUUGUAAAGCUCUUUCAGCAGGGAAGAUAAUGACGGUACCUGCAGAAGAAGUCCCGGCUAACUCCGUGCCAGCAGCCGCGGUAAUACGGAGGGGACUAGCGUUGUUCGGAAUUACUGGGCGUAAAGCGCGCGUAGGCGGAUUGUUAAGUCGGGGGUGAAAUCCCGGGACUCAACCCCGGAACUGCCCUCGAUACUGGCAGUCUUGAGUUCGGGAGAGGUGAGUGGAAUUCCGAGUGUAGAGGUGAAAUUCGUAGAUAUUCGGAGGAACACCAGUGGCGAAGGCGGCUCACUGGCUCGAUACUGACGCUGAGGUGCGAAAGCGUGGGGAGCAAACAGGAUUAGAUACCCCGGUAGUC
Molecule: ribosomal RNA, 439 nt
Filed under: uncultured bacterium
Lineage: Bacteria
Description: partial 16S ribosomal RNA
Rfam family: Bacterial small subunit ribosomal RNA
Source: RNAcentral